This 678-nucleotide ribosomal RNA is filed under the name Triticum aestivum (bread wheat). RNAcentral describes it as "partial small subunit ribosomal RNA". Lineage: Eukaryota; Viridiplantae; Streptophyta; Magnoliopsida; Poales; Poaceae. The record is from RNAcentral.
AUGGCUCAAGACAAUACUAAAUUGUGUGACUUUUCCAAUACCAACAACAAUGAUUUUAUUAGCACUCUGAUUGCUCCUAUCACCGAUGAUGAAUCUUGUGAAAUUAAUGCUGCUUUGUUGAAUCUUGUUAUGAAAGAUCAGUUUUGUGGCCUUCCUAGUGAAGAUGCCGCUACCCAUCUUAACAACUUUGUUUAUUUGUGCGAUAUGCAAAAGAAGAAAGAUGUGGAUAAUGAUAUUGUUAAAUUGAACCUAUUUCCGUUUUCGCUUAGAGAUCGUGCUAAAACUUGGUUCUCUUCUUUGCCUAAAAAUAGUAUUGAUUCAUGGAAUAAGUGGAAAGAUGCUUUUAUCUCUAAGUAUUUUCCUCCCGCUAAGAUCAUCUCUCUUAGAAACGAUAUUAUGAAUUUUAAGCAACUUGAUCAUGAGCAUGUUGCGCAAGCUUGGGAGAGGAUGAAAUUAAUGAUACGUAAUUGCCCUACACAUGGACUGAAUUUAUGGAUGAUUAUACAAAAAAAUUAUGCUGGAUUGAAUUUUGCUUCUAGAAAUCUUUUAGAUUCGGCCACUGGAGGCACUUUUAUGGAAAUCACUUUAGGAGAAGCUACUAAACUCCUAGAUAAUAUUAUGGUUAAUUAUUCUCAAUGGUACACCGAACGAUCUACUGUAAAAAAGUUCAUGCGAUAG